This 465-nucleotide ribosomal RNA is filed under the name Vreelandella stevensii. Its description in RNAcentral is "partial 16S ribosomal RNA". It matches the Rfam family "Bacterial small subunit ribosomal RNA", at positions 338 to 795 of the family's 1533-position model. The record is from RNAcentral. Lineage: Bacteria; Pseudomonadati; Pseudomonadota; Gammaproteobacteria; Oceanospirillales; Halomonadaceae.
CCUACGGGUGGCAGCAGUGGGGAAUAUUGGACAAUGGGGGCAACCCUGAUCCAGCCAUGCCGCGUGUGUGAAGAAGGCCCUCGGGUUGUAAAGCACUUUCAGUGAGGAAGAACGCCUGGUGGUUAAUACCCAUCAGGAAAGACAUCACUCACAGAAGAAGCACCGGCUAACUCCGUGCCAGCAGCCGCGGUAAUACGGAGGGUGCGAGCGUUAAUCGGAAUUACUGGGCGUAAAGCGCGCGUAGGUGGCUUGAUAAGCCGGUUGGGAAAGCCCCGGGCUCAACCUGGGAACGGCAUCCGGAACUGUCAAGCUAGAGUGCAGGAGAGGAAGGUAGAAUUCCCGGUGUAGCGGUGAAAUGCGUAGAGAUCGGGAGGAAUACCAGUGGCGAAGGCGGCCUUCUGGACUGACACUGACACUGAGGUGCGAAAGCGUGGGUAGCAAACAGGAUUAGAUACCCCGGUAGUC